GAUGAACGCUGGCGGCGUGCCUAAUACAUGCAAGUCGAACGCUGGAGAUCUAGCUUGCUAGAUCGAAGGAGUGGCGAACGGGUGAGUAAUACAUAAGCAACCUACCCACGAAGACUGGGAUAAUCUCUGGAAACGGGGACUAAUACCGGAUAGGUAAUCGGAAGGCAUCUUCUGGUUAUUAAAGGUUAAAAACACUGGUGGAUGGGCUUAUGGCGCAUUAGUUAGUUGGUGAGGUAACGGCCCACCAAGACGAUGAUGCGUAGCCGACCUGAGAGGGUGAACGGCCACAUUGGGACUGAGACACGGCCCAGACUCCUACGGGAGGCAGCAGUAGGGAAUUUUCGGCAAUGGGGGCAACCCUGACCGAGCAACGCCGCGUGAGUGAAGACGGCCUUCGGGUUGUAAAGCUCUGUUGUAAGGGAAGAACGGUAGAUAGAGAAUAUCUAAGUGACGGUACCUUACCAGAAAGCCACGGCUAACUACGUG
This 486-nucleotide ribosomal RNA is filed under the name uncultured bacterium. RNAcentral's name for it is "partial 16S ribosomal RNA". It matches the Rfam family "Bacterial small subunit ribosomal RNA", at positions 28 to 507 of the family's 1533-position model. The record is from RNAcentral.